RNAcentral lists this ribosomal RNA (506 nucleotides) under uncultured bacterium. Its description in RNAcentral is "partial 16S ribosomal RNA". It matches the Rfam family "Bacterial small subunit ribosomal RNA", at positions 28 to 523 of the family's 1533-position model. The record is from RNAcentral.
GAUGAACGCUAGCUACAGGCUUAACACAUGCAAGUCGAGGGGUAACGAGAGGAAAGCUUGCCUUCCUUGUCGACGACCGGCGCACGGGUGAGUAACGCGUAUCCAACCUGCCCCCAACUAGGGAAUAACCUUGCGAAAGUAAGACUAAUACCCUAUAAUUUCCUCAGAUGUCAUCUGACGAGGAAUAAAGAUUUAUCGGUUGUGGAUGGGGAUGCGUCUGAUUAGCUUGUUGGCGGGGUAACGGCCCACCAAGGCAACGAUCAGUAGGGGUUCUGAGAGGAAGGACCCCCACAUUGGAACUGAGACACGGUCCAAACUCCUACGGGAGGCAGCAGUGAGGAAUAUUGGUCAAUGGGCGGAAGCCUGAACCAGCCAAGUAGCGUGCAGGAUGACGGCCCUAUGGGUUGUAAACUGCUUUUAUACAGGAAUAAAGUUAGCCACGUGUGGUUAUUUGUAGGUACUGUAUGAAUAAGGACCGGCUAAUUCCGUGCCAGCAGCCGCCGUAA